UGUGCUUUGGUUAACAUUCUGGUUUA
RNAcentral lists this non-coding RNA (26 nucleotides) under Mus musculus (house mouse). Lineage: Eukaryota; Metazoa; Chordata; Mammalia; Rodentia; Muridae. The record is from RNAcentral.